GAAUAUUGCUUUUUUGAAUAUUUUCUUUCAGGCUAUUUGCGAGGUGAAAUCUUUGCGGGGCGAAAAACACGAGAGGCGAGAAGGAUGAGCCUCUGGCAACAUCAGUUGAAAAUCCCACUUCCACACUUGAUUAGGUUCAGUUUUCUCGCAUGGGAUUGGUCAUAAAAAAAUGUCAAACCGGUUUGGGAAAUAAACAUUACUGUGAGCUAAUUAUAGCUAUAAUUAGCUUACAGUACAGUAAG
Molecule: non-coding RNA, 242 nt
Organism: Paramuricea clavata
Lineage: Eukaryota; Metazoa; Cnidaria; Anthozoa; Malacalcyonacea; Plexauridae
Source: the annotation of a GenBank genome assembly